Molecule: ribosomal RNA, 450 nt
Filed under: uncultured bacterium
Lineage: Bacteria
Description: partial 16S ribosomal RNA
Rfam family: Bacterial small subunit ribosomal RNA
Source: RNAcentral
GUGGGGAAUAUUGGACAAUGGGCGAAAGCCUGAUCCAGCCAUGCCGCGUGUGUGAAGAAGGUCUUCGGAUUGUAAAGCACUUUAAGUUGGGAGGAAGGGCAGUAAGUUAAUACCUUGCUGUUUUGACGUUACCGACAGAAUAAGCACCGGCUAACUUCGUGCCAGCAGCCGCGGUAAUACGAAGGGUGCAAGCGUUAAUCGGAAUUACUGGGCGUAACGCGCGCGUAGGUGGUUUUGUAAGUUGGAGGUGAAAUCCCCGGGCUCAACCUGGGAACUGCCUCCAAAACUGCAUGACUAGAGUACGGUAGAGGGUAGUGGAAUUUCCUGUGUAGCGGUGAAAUGCGUAGAUAUAGGAAGGAACACCAGUGGCGAAGGCGACUACCUGGACUGAUACUGACACUGAGGUGCGAAAGCGUGGGGAGCAAACAGGAUUAGAUACCCCUGUAGUCC